AGAUUAAGCCAUGCAUGUAUAAGUAUAAACGCUUUAAGCGUGAAACCGCGAACGGCUCAUUACAACAGCUAUAAUUUACUUGAUCUUGACAAACUUACAUGGAUAACUGAGGUAAUUCUUGAGCUAAUACAUGCACCAAAGCUUUGACCGUAAGGGAAGAGCGCAUUUAUUAGAACAAAACCAAACGGCUUCGGCUGUUCCCAGUUGAAUCAGAAUAACUCAGCUGAUCGUACGGUCUUGCACCGACGACGUGUCUUUCAAGUAUCUGCUUUAUCAACUUUCGAUGGUAGGGUAUCUGCCUACCAUGGUGGUGACGGAUAACGGAGGAUCAGGGUUCGACUCCGGAGAAGGGGCCUGAGAAAUGGCCACUACGUCUAAGGAUGGCAGCAGGCGCGCAAAUUACCCACUCUCAGAAUUUGGAGGAGGUAGUGACGAGAAAUAACGAGGUUGAUCUCUUCUGAGGCCAACCAUCGGAAUGGGUACAAUUUAAACCCUUUAACGAGUAUCUAUGAGAGGGCAAGUCUGGUGCCAGCAGCCGCGGUAAUUCCAGCUCUCAAAAUGCAUAGAAUUAUUGCUGCGGUUAAAAAGCUCGUAGUUGGAUCUGCAGCCGGAGCUCCGGUCCAUCUUCGGAUNUGUACUGGAUGUCUCCGGCUUUCUGACAGUGUUCGGCUCUGUGCCUCUAACCAGGUGUGGAUGUCCGAUACUGUAAGUUUACUUUGAAUAAAUCAGAGUGCUCUAAACAGGCGUUUUGCUUGAAUGAUUGUGCAUGGAAUAAUAGAAGAGGAUUUCGGUUCUAUUUUAUUGGUUUUAUAGACUGAGAUAAUGGGUAACAGAGACAAACGGGGGCAUUUGUAUGGCUACGUGAGA
This 867-nucleotide ribosomal RNA is filed under the name Pratylenchus penetrans. Its description in RNAcentral is "SSU rRNA". It matches the Rfam family "Eukaryotic small subunit ribosomal RNA", at positions 41 to 909 of the family's 1831-position model. The record is from RNAcentral. Lineage: Eukaryota; Metazoa; Nematoda; Chromadorea; Rhabditida; Pratylenchidae.